Molecule: ribosomal RNA, 273 nt
Filed under: uncultured bacterium
Lineage: Bacteria
Description: partial 16S ribosomal RNA
Rfam family: Bacterial small subunit ribosomal RNA
Source: RNAcentral
GACAGAGGGUGCAAACGUUGUUCGGAAUUACUGGGCGUAAAGCGCGCGUAGGCGGCAGCGUGUGUCGGGCGUGAAAUCCCACGGCUCAACCGUGGAAGUGCACUCGAAACUGCGCAGCUAGAGUCUCGGAGAGGAAGGCGGAAUGCUUGGUGUAGAGGUGAAAUUCGUAGAUAUCAAGCGGAACACCGGUGGCGAAGGCGGCCUUCUGGACGAUGACUGACGCUGAAGCGCGAAAGCGUGGGGAGCAAACAGGAUUAGAAACCCCAGUAGUCC